GACGAACGCUGGCGGCGUGCUUAACACAUGCAAGUCGAACGGAAAGGCCCUGCUUGCGGGGUACUCGAGUGGCGAACGGGUGAGUAACACGUGGGUGAUCUGCCCUGCACUUCGGGAUAAGCCUGGGAAACUGGGUCUAAUACCGGAUAGAAGCCAUUUUUAGUGUGAUGGUUGGAAAGUUUUUUCGGUGUAGGGUGAGCUCGCGGCCUAUCAGCUUGCUGGUGGGGUAAUGGCCUACCAAGGCGGCGACGGGUAGCCGGCCUGAGAGGGUGGACGGCCACAUUGGGACUGAGAUACGGCCCAGACACCUACGGGAGGGAGCAGUGGGGAAGAUUGCACAAUGGGCGCAAGCCUGAUGCAGCGACGCCGCGUGGGGGAUGACGGCCUUCGGGUUGUAAACCCCUUUCGCUAGGGACGAAGCUGUUUGUGACGGUACCUAGAUAAGAAGCACCGGCUAACUACGUG
Molecule: ribosomal RNA, 465 nt
Filed under: uncultured bacterium
Lineage: Bacteria
Description: partial 16S ribosomal RNA
Rfam family: Bacterial small subunit ribosomal RNA
Source: RNAcentral